GAUGAACGCUGGCGGCGUGCCUAAUACAUGCAAGUCGAGCGAACGGACGAGAAGCUUGCUUCUCUGAUGUUAGCGGCGGACGGGUGAGUCCCACGUGGAUAACCUACCUAUAAGACUGGGAUAACUUCGGGAAACCGGAGCUACUACCGGAUAAUAUUUUGAACCGCAUGGUUCAAAAGUGAAAGUCGGUCUUGCUGUCACUUAUAGAUGGAUCCGCGCUGCAUUAGCUAGUUGGUAAGGUAACGGCUUACCAAGGCAACGAUGCAUAGCCGACCUGACAGGGGGAGCGGCCACACUGGAACUGAGACACGGUCCAGACUACUAGGGGAGGCAGCAGUAGGGAAUCUUCCGCGAUGGGAGAAAGCCUGACGGAGCAACGCCGCGUGAGAGACGAAGGCCUUCGGAUCGUAAAACUCUUUUAGGAGGUAAGAACAUAUGUGUAAGUAACUGUGCACAUCUUGACGGUACCUAAUCAGAAAGCCACGGCUAACUACGUG
RNAcentral lists this ribosomal RNA (497 nucleotides) under uncultured bacterium. RNAcentral describes it as "partial 16S ribosomal RNA". It matches the Rfam family "Bacterial small subunit ribosomal RNA", at positions 28 to 507 of the family's 1533-position model. The record is from RNAcentral.